Molecule: ribosomal RNA, 468 nt
Filed under: uncultured bacterium
Lineage: Bacteria
Description: partial 16S ribosomal RNA
Rfam family: Bacterial small subunit ribosomal RNA
Source: RNAcentral
GACGAACGCUGGCGGCGUGCUUAACACAUGCAAGUCGAACGGAAAGGCCCUGCUUUUGUGGGGUGCUCGAGUGGCGAACGGGUGAGUAACACGUGAGUAACCUGCCCUUGACUUUGGGAUAACUUCAGGAAACUGGGGCUAAUACCGGAUAGGAGCCCCUGCUGCAUGGUGGGGGUUGGAAAGUUUCGGCGGUUGGGGAUGGACUCGCGGCUUAUCAGCUUGUUGGUGGGGUAGUGGCCUACCAAGGCCUUGACGGGUAGCCGGCCUGAGAGGGUGACCGGCCACAUUGGGACUAAGAUACGGCCCAGACUCCUACGGGAGGCAGCAGUGGGGAAUAUUGCACAAUGGGCGGAAGCCUGAUGCGGCGACGCCGCGUGCGGGAUGACGGCCUUCGGGUUGUAAACCGCUUUCGCCUGUGACGAAGCGUGAGUGACGGUAAUGGGUAAAGAAGCACCGGCUAACUACGUG